RNAcentral lists this ribosomal RNA (433 nucleotides) under uncultured bacterium. RNAcentral's name for it is "partial 16S ribosomal RNA". It matches the Rfam family "Bacterial small subunit ribosomal RNA", at positions 29 to 507 of the family's 1533-position model. The record is from RNAcentral.
AACGAACGCUGGCGGCAGGCCUAACACAUGCAAGUCGAGCGAGGACUUCGGUUCUAGCGGCGGACGGGUGAGUAACGCGUGGGAAUGUGCCCUUCUCUACGGAAUAGCCCUGGGAAACUGGGAGUAAUACCGUAUACGCCCUCUUGGGGAAAGAUUUAUCGGAGAAGGAUCAGCCCGCGUUGGAUUAGGUAGUUGGUGGGGUAAUGGCCUACCAAGCCGACGAUCCAUAGCUGGUUUGAGAGGAUGAUCAGCCACACUGGGACUGCGACACGGCCCAGACUCCUACGGGAGGCAGCAGUGGGGAAUCUUAGACAAUGGGGGCAACCCUGAUCGAGCCAUGCCGCGUGAGUGAUGAAGGCCUUAGGGUUGUAAAGCUCUUUCAGCUGGGAAGAUAAUGACGGUACCAGCAGAAGAAGCCCCGGCUAACUCCGUG